Molecule: ribosomal RNA, 299 nt
Filed under: Triticum aestivum (bread wheat)
Lineage: Eukaryota; Viridiplantae; Streptophyta; Magnoliopsida; Poales; Poaceae
Description: partial small subunit ribosomal RNA
Source: RNAcentral
UUUUGCAUGAAGUGGCCGUUUCUUUGAGUAGUUUAAGGGAAUGCAAGAGGACUCUGUGUAAAUGACCUGCUACUGACCCUUACGGAACGAGACAUGACCAGGGCUUGGUUCUUACACUUACGACUGUUUUAUAACCCCUUCUCACGGAAUAAUUCGUUGCCAUUUCCUUCAUUACGUCUAUUCCAAGUCCUAUCACUGUGUAGGACAGAACCAAAUCACAACCUCAAUGACCGGUGAUGGCGAACGUGUUCGAUAAGUUUGAGUGACAGACUUAGUCAAGCCAAAGAACUCAGAGUUGA